GGUGACAUUGGCUACCAUAUUGCCGGUGUUGCGUAGGGGAGUCUGGUUUGCGACCAUUGACUUACGUGACGCUUAUUUCCAUAUCUAUACAGCGCUCCCAUCGUAGGUACCUCAGUUUUUUAGUAGGACACUCCAUCUAUUCCUUCAAUGUGCUGCCGUUUGGCCUAGCCACGGCGCCAAGGGUGUUCACCAAAUGCAUGGCUACUGUGGCCGCAUACUUAAGGCAAAGAGGAAUAGUUAUCUUCCCUUACAUUGAUGAUUGGCUGGUCGUUAGUGAAUCAGACAGGCCUGAAGGAUGAUGUGUCCUCUACGCUCCUUCUUUUGCAGGACCUCGGCCUCGUAGUCAACGAGGAAAAGUCUCAUUUAACCCCUUCGCAAAACAUCGAGUUCAUUGGGGCUGUCCUGGACUCUCGGUCGGAAAGGGCCUACCUUCCGGAGUCCCGCUUCCGUACUAUCCGGGCCUCUAUCCUGCAACUCCGUUCCCGACGACAAGCUUCAGCAUGGCAUAUCCAAUCCAUCCUAGGUCAUAUGGCCUCCACCACGGCGGUGGUAAAACUAGCAAAACUCAGGAUGAGACCUCUUCAGAGGUGGUUCCUGGACUCGUUCGAUCCGUCCUGCGACAGCCAAUGGAUGAUGUUGAAGCCUCCAGGUCCUGUCCUGCAUUCACUACGAUGGUGGACAAGCAGACGCAACCUGCGGGCAGGUCUUCCUUUCUGCCCCCCGAUACCAACUUACGAGGUUACAACGGAUGCGUCUCAAGACGGAUGGGGUGCUCAUCUCAACGAUUUAGUGAUCAACGGUCGCUGGACAGGCCAGUUACGCGAUGCCCAUAUCAACGUCCUCGAACUUCUGGCAGUGGAAAAAGCCCUCCACGCCUUCGAAAGGAUCCUGCAAGGGACCACCGUACGGAUCGUGACAGACAAUACAACGGUAAAAUGCUACCUCAACCGGCAGGGGGGUACCCAUUCGAGGCGUCUGCUACACCUCUCCCUACGCCUUUGGAACUGGUGCGUCAAGAAGCGAGUGACACUGCAAGCAAUACAUUUACCAGGGAAAGACAACGUGUUGGCAGACGCACUCAGCCGCUCGAAGUCGGCAUGUCACGAAUGGCAGCUGAAACACACGGAGUUCCGCCUUCUGGCGCGUCACUGGGGCUGGCCGAUAAUCGACUUGUUUGCAUCCCCGGAGAACCCGGGCACGGUUCCAGGGUGUUUAGGGGAUGCGUUCCGGUUCCAAUGGACCGGAGGACUACUGUAUGCUUUCCCUCCUCUACCAAUGAUAGGAAAGACCAUCUCGAAAAUCCUGUCGGACAACACAGACUGCAUAGUAAUAACACCGUGGU
This 1342-nucleotide long non-coding RNA is filed under the name Anolis carolinensis (green anole). RNAcentral's name for it is "lncRNA (ENSACAG00000040910.1)". Lineage: Eukaryota; Metazoa; Chordata; Lepidosauria; Squamata; Anolidae. The record is from RNAcentral.